This 483-nucleotide ribosomal RNA is filed under the name uncultured bacterium. RNAcentral's name for it is "partial 16S ribosomal RNA". It matches the Rfam family "Bacterial small subunit ribosomal RNA", at positions 28 to 507 of the family's 1533-position model. The record is from RNAcentral.
GACGAACGCUGGCGGCGUGCUUAACACAUGCAAGUCGAACGGAAAGGCCCUGCUUUUUUGGUUUGCUCGAGUUGCGAACGGGUGAGUAACACUUGAGUAACCUGCCCUUGACUUUGAGAUAACUUCAGGAAACUGGGGCUAAUACCGGAUAGGAGCUCCUGCUUCAUGGUGGGUGUUGGAAAGUUUCGGCGGUUGGUGAUGGAGACGCGGCUUAUCAGCUUGUUGGUGGGGUAGCGGCCUACCAAGGCGACGAUGAGUAGGCGUCCUGAGAGUGUGACCGGUCACAGUGGAACUGGGACACGGUCCAAACUCCUACGGGAGGCAGCAGUGAGGAAGAUUGAUCAAUGGGCGAGAGCAUUAUCCAGCCAAGUAGCGUGCAGGAUGACGGCCCUAUGGGUGGUAAACUGCGUUUAUGCGGGGAUAAAGUGAGGGACGGGUCCGUCAUUGCAGGUACCGCAUGAAUAAGGACCGGCUAAUUCCGUG